GACAGAGGCCUCGAGCGUUAGGCGGAAUCACUGGGCUUAAAGCGUGUGUAGGCGGAUCGUUAAGUGUGUUGUGAAAUCCCACGGCUCAACCGUGGAACGGCUGGGCAUACUGGCGAUCUUGAGUAGCCUAGGGGCGACCGGAACAAACGGUGGAGCGGUGAAAUGCGUAGAUAUCGUUUGGAACGCCGAUGGUGAAAACAGGUCGCUGGGGGCUUGCUGACGCUGAGACACGAAGGCCAGGGGAGCAAACGGG
RNAcentral lists this ribosomal RNA (253 nucleotides) under uncultured bacterium. RNAcentral's name for it is "partial 16S ribosomal RNA". It matches the Rfam family "Bacterial small subunit ribosomal RNA", at positions 524 to 776 of the family's 1533-position model. The record is from RNAcentral.